Molecule: small nuclear RNA, 187 nt
Organism: Pseudophryne corroboree (corroboree frog)
Lineage: Eukaryota; Metazoa; Chordata; Amphibia; Anura; Myobatrachidae
Product: U2 spliceosomal RNA
Exons: 1
Source: RefSeq, a predicted model, not a curated record
ACCACUUGGUCUUUGGCUAAAAUCAGGGUAGUAUCUGUUCUUAUCGUUUUAUUAUCUGAUAGGCCCCCUCUCUGGGGUCCAUUUAUUAUUAAUGGCUUUUAGAACAAGGAGAUGGAAAAAGAGCUUUCUCUUACCACUCCACGUCUUGACCUGGUAUUGCAGUGCUUCUAGGACCGGUACACAAAAC